AGUGAACGCUGGCGGUAGGCCUAACACAUGCAAGUCGAACGGCAGCACAGAGGAGCUUGCUCCUUGGGUGGCGAGUGGCGGACGGGUGAGGAAUACAUCGGAAUCUACUCUGUCGUGGGGGAUAACGUAGGGAAACUUACGCUAAUACCGCAUACGACCUACGGGUGAAAGCAGGGGACCUUCGGGCCUUGCGCGAUUGAAUGAGCCGAUGUCGGAUUAGCUAGUUGACGGGGUAAAGGCCCACCAAGGCGACGAUCCGUAGCUGGUCUGAGAGGAUGAUCAGCAACACUGGAACUGAGCCACGGUCCAGACUCCUACGGGAGGCAGCAGUGGGGAAUAUUGGACAAUGGGCGCAAGCCUGAUCCAGCCAUACCGCGUGGGUGAAAAAGGCCUUCGGGUUGUAAAGCCCUUUUGUUGGGAAAGAAAUCCAGCUGGCUAAUACCCGGUUGGGAUGACGGUACCCAAAGAAUAAGCACCGGCUAACUUCGUGCCAGCCGCCGCCGAA
Molecule: ribosomal RNA, 505 nt
Filed under: uncultured bacterium
Lineage: Bacteria
Description: partial 16S ribosomal RNA
Rfam family: Bacterial small subunit ribosomal RNA
Source: RNAcentral